Non-coding RNA from Acanthosepion pharaonis, 111 nucleotides. The record is from the annotation of a GenBank genome assembly. Lineage: Eukaryota; Metazoa; Mollusca; Cephalopoda; Sepiida; Sepiidae.
UAUGGCCAUAUCACAUUGAGACACCAGUUCCUAUGCGAUCACCAAAGUUAAGCAAUGCCAAGCCUGGUCAGUACCUAGAUGGAUGAUUGCUUGGGAAUAACAGGUGCUAUA